RNAcentral lists this ribosomal RNA (406 nucleotides) under uncultured bacterium. RNAcentral describes it as "partial 16S ribosomal RNA". It matches the Rfam family "Bacterial small subunit ribosomal RNA", at positions 30 to 526 of the family's 1533-position model. The record is from RNAcentral.
AUUGAACGCUGGCGGCAGGCCUAACACAUGCAAGUCGAGCGAGCGGCGGACGGGGGAGUAAUGUCUGGGAAACUGCCGGAUGGAGGGGGAUAACUACUGGAAACGGUAGCUAAUACCGCAUAACAUCAGAUUUGGCGAGAUGGGAUUAGCUGGUAGGUGGGGUAACGGCUCACCUAGGCGACGCUCCCUAGCUGUUCUGAGAGGAUGCACCGCCACACUGGAACUGAGACACGGUCCAGACUCCUACGUGAGGCAGCAGUGGGGAAUAUUGCACAAUGGGCGCAAGCCUGAUGCAGCCAUGCCGCGUGUGUGAAGAAGGCCUUCGGGUUGUAAAGCACUUUCAGCGGGGAGGCGUUACCCGCAGAAGAAGCACCGGCUAACUCCGUGCCAGCAGCCGCGGUAAUUC